Molecule: ribosomal RNA, 239 nt
Filed under: uncultured bacterium
Lineage: Bacteria
Description: partial 16S ribosomal RNA
Rfam family: Bacterial small subunit ribosomal RNA
Source: RNAcentral
UGAGUAACCUGCCCUUAACUCUGGGAUAAGCCUGGGAAACUGGGUCUAAUACCGGAUAUGACUCCUCAUCGCAUGGGUGGGGGGUGGAAAGCUUUAUUGUUGGUUUUUGGAUGGACUCGCGGCCUAUCAGCUUGUUGGUGAGGUAAUGGCUCACCAAGGCGACGACGGGUAGCCGGCCUGAGAGGGUGACCGGCCACACUGGGACUGAGACACGGCCCAGACCUCCGUACGGGAGGCAG